Molecule: ribosomal RNA, 452 nt
Filed under: uncultured bacterium
Lineage: Bacteria
Description: bacterial SSU rRNA
Rfam family: Bacterial small subunit ribosomal RNA
Source: RNAcentral
UACGGAAGGCAGCAGUGGGGAAUAUUGCACAAUGGGCGCAAGCCUGAUGCAGCCAUGCCGCGUGUAUGAAGAAGGCCUUCGGGUUGUAAAGUACUUUCAGUCGUGAGGAAGGUGUUAAGGUUAAUAACCUUAGCAAUUGACGUUAGCGACAGAAGAAGCACCGGCUAACUCCGUGCCAGCAGCCGCGGUAAUACGGAGGGUGCGAGCGUUAAUCGGAAUUACUGGGCGUAAAGGGCACGCAGGCGGUUAAUUAAGUUGGAUGUGAAAUCCCCGGGCUUAACCUGGGAAUGGCAUUCAAGACUGGUUAGCUAGAGUCUUGUAGAGGGGGUAGAAUUCCAUGUGUAGCGGUGAAAUGCGUAGAGAUGUGGAGGAAUACCGGUGGCGAAGGCGGCCCCUGGACAAAGACUGACGCUCAUGUGCGAAAGCGUGGGGAGCGAAACAGGGAUUAGAUA